RNAcentral lists this ribosomal RNA (252 nucleotides) under uncultured bacterium. RNAcentral describes it as "partial 16S ribosomal RNA". It matches the Rfam family "Bacterial small subunit ribosomal RNA", at positions 524 to 776 of the family's 1533-position model. The record is from RNAcentral.
UACGGAGGGUGCGAGCGUUGUCCGGAAUCAUUGGGCGUAAAGGGCGCGUAGGUGGCGCGGCAAGCGUGCGGUGAAAGCUCGGGGCUCAACCCCGAGUCGGCCGUGCGAACUGCUGGGCUUGAGCACUGUAGAGGCAGGCGGAAUUCCGGGUGUAGCGGUGGAAUGCGUAGAGAUCCGGAAGAACACCGGUGGCGAAGGCGGCCUGCUGGGCAGUAGCUGACACUGAGCGCGACAGCGUGGGGAGCAAACAGG